GGUGGUUCUCAGGUGGUGCACCCCUGAAUAGGGCUCCCUCUUCUCUGGUUCCGGGUGCGUCACCCAAGAACCACA
This is a non-coding RNA of Myotis davidii, 75 nucleotides long. NCBI's taxonomy places the organism in Eukaryota, Metazoa, Chordata, Mammalia, Chiroptera, Vespertilionidae. The record is from Rfam.